ACAACUCUGAGUUUAUAUUAAUGGGCAACUUAACAAAAACAAAAUUCCGAAUUUUCCUAAAAAAACAUUUUCUUCAAGUUGAUUUCACACACAAUCUGCACUGAGUGCGUUUAUCAAUUUCGGUGUCACCCGACUUACUGCCUUCUAGGUUGUCUUAACCUGUUCUUUCAGAACCUUGGUUAAGACAGCCACGAAGGCAGGUGACACCGAAAUUGAUAAACGCACUUCCUAACACACUGUGUGUAUGAAAUCAACUUGAAGAAAAUGUUUUUAAGGAAAAUUCGGAAUUUUGUUUUUGUUAAGUUGCCUUUUUCAUAUAAACUUCGUAGCCGCUGACGGAAUUUGUGUGUCACAGACUUCGUGAUCAUUUCAAGGCUGUCUUGACCAAAGUAUAUAAACACUGAAGGUAACGCAAAUCCGCAAGAACACACGGACCCCUACUUUCGGGUGAAUAUAGUUUUUAUAAUGUUGGACACAAGUCAAAUUCACUUUGUUAGGUUGCAACACAUGCCAAAACUCAAUACUAAAC
Long non-coding RNA from Bradysia coprophila, 529 nucleotides. Lineage: Eukaryota; Metazoa; Arthropoda; Insecta; Diptera; Sciaridae. The record is from RefSeq and is a predicted model, not a curated record.